Molecule: ribosomal RNA, 949 nt
Filed under: uncultured Bacillota bacterium
Lineage: Bacteria; Bacillati; Bacillota
Description: bacterial SSU rRNA
Rfam family: Bacterial small subunit ribosomal RNA
Source: RNAcentral
UGGUCCAGACUUUGAUUCUGGCUCAGGAUGAACGCUGGCGGCGUGCCUAAUACAUGCAAGUCGAACGAAACUUCUUUAUCACCGAGUGCUUGCACUCACCGAUAAAGAGUUGAGUGGCGAACGGGUGAGUAACACGUGGGCAACCUGCCCAAAAGAGGGGGAUAACACUUGGAGACAGGUGCUAAUACCGCAUAACCAUAGUUACCGCAUGGCAACUAUGUAAAAGGUGGCUAUGCUACCGCUUUUGGAUGGGCCCGCGGCGCAUUAGCUAGUUGGUGGGGUAAAGGCUUACCAAGGCAAUGAUGCGUAGCCGAACUGAGAGGUUGAUCGGCCACAUUGGGACUGAGACACGGCCCAAACUCCUACGGGAGGCAGCAGUAGGGAAUCUUCCACAAUGGGCGAAAGCCUGAUGGAGCAACGCCGCGUGGGUGAAGAAGGUCUUCGGAUCGUAAAACCCUGUUGUUAGAGAAGAAAGUGCGUGAGAGUAACUGUUCACGUUUCGACGGUAUCUAACCAGAAAGCCACGGCUAACUACGUGCCAGCAGCCGCGGUAAUACGUAGGUGGCAAGCGUUAUCCGGAUUUAUUGGGCGUAAAGGGAACGCAGGCGGUCUUUUAAGUCUGAUGUGAAAGCCUUCGGCUUAACCGGAGUAGUGCAUUGGAAACUGGGAGACUUGAGUGCAGAAGAGGAGAGUGGAACUCCAUGUGUAGCGGUGAAAUGCGUAGAUAUAUGGAAGAACACCAGUGGCGAAAGCGGCUCUCUGGUCUGUAACUGACGCUGAGGUUCGAAAGCGUGGGUAGCAAACAGGAUUAGAUACCCUGGUAGUCCACGCCGUAAACGAUGAAUGCUAAGUGUUGGAGGGUUUCCGCCCUUCAGUGCUGCAGCUAACGCAAUAAGCAUUCCGCCUGGGGAGUACGACCGCAAGGUUGCAACUCAAAGGAAUUGACGGA